Molecule: ribosomal RNA, 253 nt
Filed under: uncultured soil bacterium
Lineage: Bacteria
Description: partial 16S ribosomal RNA
Rfam family: Bacterial small subunit ribosomal RNA
Source: RNAcentral
AGGACGAACGCUGGCGGCGUGCUUAACACAUGCAAGUCGAGCGGUAAGGCCCUUUCGGGGGUACACGAGCGGCGAACGGGUGAGUAACACGUGAGCAAUCUGCCCUUCACUUCGGGAUAAGCCUCGGAAACGGGGUCUAAUACCGGAUAUGACCGCGCUACGCAUGUGGUGUGGUGAAAGUCUGGCGGUGGAGGAUGAGCUCGCGGCCUAUCAGCUUGGUUGGUGGGUAAUGGCCUACAGGCUUCGACGGGUA